RNAcentral lists this ribosomal RNA (458 nucleotides) under uncultured bacterium. RNAcentral describes it as "partial 16S ribosomal RNA". It matches the Rfam family "Bacterial small subunit ribosomal RNA", at positions 29 to 507 of the family's 1533-position model. The record is from RNAcentral.
AACGAACGCUGGCGGCAUGCCUAACACAUGCAAGUCGAACGAGACCUUCGGGUCUAGUGGCGCACGGGUGCGUAACGCGUGGGAACCUGCCCUUAGGUUCGGAAUAACUCCCCGAAAGGGGUGCUAAUACCGGAUAAUGUCUUCGGACCAAAGAUUUAUCGCCUUUGGAUGGGCCCGCGUUGGAUUAGCUAUUUGUUGGGGUAAUAGCUUACCAAGGCGACGAUCCGGAACUGGUCUGAGAGGAUGAUCAGCCACACGGGAACUGAGACACGGCCCAGACUCCUACGGGAGGCAGCAGGAGGGAAGCUUGCGCAAUGGGCGAAAGCCUGAGGGAGCAACGCCGCGUGAGUGAUGAAGGUCUUCGGAUCGUAAAACUCUGUUAUUAGGGAAGAACAAAUGUGUAAGUAACUAUGCACGUCUUGACGGUACCUAAUCAGAAAGCCACGGCUAACUACGUG